GCCUGAGCUCUGCCGCCGGCAGCCCCUCUGCCCGGAGAGCCCAAGACACUCAAGCAUCCCCCAGCAGGAGCGGUGAUCCUAAUCCUGACACCAUCUCUCGCAUGGAAUGCAGGGAAGAACCCCGUGUCUCAAUUCUCCCGGACCCCAGCGAAUGGCUGAAUCAAAGAGGUGCCUGCAAAGCAGAUCACCAGAUCCUGAGUCAAACUGAAGAGGAGACCCCGCAGCGGGAGGGCGCUGGGAAAGCGGAGUCGCGCGGGGCGUCAGCAGAGAGAACUGGAGGGGAUGUCUCGCAGCAGAUCCAGCCUGG
This is a long non-coding RNA of Terrapene triunguis (Three-toed box turtle), 307 nucleotides long. RefSeq lists it as uncharacterized. Lineage: Eukaryota; Metazoa; Chordata; Testudines; Emydidae. The transcript has 3 exons. The record is from RefSeq and is a predicted model, not a curated record.